This 673-nucleotide ribosomal RNA is filed under the name Lactiplantibacillus plantarum. RNAcentral's name for it is "bacterial SSU rRNA". It matches the Rfam family "Bacterial small subunit ribosomal RNA", at positions 218 to 887 of the family's 1533-position model. The record is from RNAcentral. Lineage: Bacteria; Bacillati; Bacillota; Bacilli; Lactobacillales; Lactobacillaceae.
UUUUUGGAUGGUCCCGCGGCGUAUUAGCUAGAUGGUGGGGUAACGGCUCACCAUGGCAAUGAUACGUAGCCGACCUGAGAGGGUAAUCGGCCACAUUGGGACUGAGACACGGCCCAAAACUCUACGGGAGGCAGCAGUAGGGAAUCUUCCACAAUGGACGAAAGUCUGAUGGAGCAACGCCGCGUGAGUGAAGAAGGGUUUCGGCUCGUAAAACUCUGUUGUUAAAGAAGAACAUAUCUGAGAGUAACUGUUCAGGUAUUGACGGUAUUUAACCAGAAAGCCACGGCUAACUACGUGCCAGCAGCCGCGGUAAUACGUAGGUGGCAAGCGUUGUCCGGAUUUAUUGGGCGUAAAGCGAGCGCAGGCGGUUUUUUAAGUCUGAUGUGAACUUCGGCUCAACCGAAGAAGUGCAUCGGAAACUGGGAAACUUGAGUGCAGAAGAGGACAGUGGAACUCCAUGUGUAGCGGUGAAAUGCGUAGAUAUAUGGAAGAACACCAGUGGCGAAGGCGGCUGUCUGGUCUGUAACUGACGCUGAGGCUCGAAAGUAUGGGUAGCAAACAGGAUUAGAUACCCUGGUAGUCCAUACCGUAAACGAUGAAUGCUAAGUGUUGGAGGGUUUCCGCCCUUCAGUGCUGCACUAACGCAUUAAGCAUUCCGCCUGGGAGUACGGCG